This 990-nucleotide long non-coding RNA is filed under the name Rosa chinensis. RNAcentral's name for it is "sRNA RchiOBHm_Chr3g0497111". The record is from RNAcentral. Lineage: Eukaryota; Viridiplantae; Streptophyta; Magnoliopsida; Rosales; Rosaceae.
GACGCACAGCGGCAGCCACUUUGUUGAAAUCUGAUGAAUCUAAGAGAAGCUUUGCUGCUGCCACAGAGAAGCUUUUGCCAUAGCACGGCCUCAGUUUGUUCUGUUCGGAUCCUCCAUAGCCCAGCUUAGCUUCAGCCACGGCUACUGGGGCUCCAUUCUCUCCGACCUCUAUGCUCGCAAAGCAAACAUAUUGCUGCGUGGUUACUUUGGAUGGAAUUCACGACGUGCUCUAGAGGUGCUUGAUCAAGUUUUUCCCAUGGAAGUGAUGGAGAAGCAUGGAAAUGUACUAAAAAGUCAACCUUAGCACUUUUUCUUGCUCCGGCUAGGAGAAAACGAGCUAGACAAUAAAGGAAGGGCGACAACCUCAUCAAAAGAAAUCCAAAUGAGUUGAAAAUUCCAGAUCCAUUCUAGACAUCCUAAGAAUCAUUUCAUAUGAAGAGUGCAAGAGCUGGUUCGGAGUGGAAGGCCUUCAAAAGAUUAGUCCAAGUUUUUGACUAAAAGACGAAAACGGCAAAACAUAACCUGUACGGAUUCCGACAGCAUUUGCUGCCAAACCACGGUGAACCAAACUCGAAAAUUUUACCACGUUGAUCUACAAUUAUCGAGGAACAUUUGGUAUGAAAAAGUCAAAGGCUAAUUUCGAAGUCUCGGUGGCGAUUCAAUUGAAGGGAACUUCGGACGUAUCUUAGUCAAAACAUGGCAGUUUGGCCUAGAACCUUCUUUGGGCGGAUUUCUUAUGCAUUUUUGAAGGUCUAUAAUGCUGAAAUUAUCAGUAAGUGCCCUAGAAAAAUCCUACAAGAGUAUGACAAGAUUAAUCCAACAUAUUAUCUUUUGGAUAAUAGGCAUCCUUUGCACAUUUUUCUCUCAUGCUUGUCAUCUUGACUUUGGUGACUCAAAACCACUCCAACAUUCUUCCUUUUCAUGUUUCCCAUUAGGCCUCAUAAAAAAGAUCACGAAUCAAGUGGGCCGAUGGAGGCCAGUCGGCCAGUC